This is a long non-coding RNA of Ornithorhynchus anatinus (platypus), 1139 nucleotides long. RefSeq lists it as uncharacterized. Lineage: Eukaryota; Metazoa; Chordata; Mammalia; Monotremata; Ornithorhynchidae. The record is from RefSeq and is a predicted model, not a curated record. The transcript is spliced from 2 exons.
ACCUACGGAGGUAAAGGCGGUUUCGAGUCUUCCCGAGUUUUGACCCAAUAACGGUUCCUGGAACCUUAGAAUUGGCAAGCUCCACGACCACCUCGGGCUGCCCCUCCAUUCGCAUCCCCUAAGUCUCUCCCUUCUUAACUUCAGCCUGGGCUUAUCCCAGACCCUGCCAAACGGCUUUUUGGGCCCUUCAAUGCUUGCUCAUUUCACUUCUGCAGUUACAUUCCUAGCAGGGGAAAUGGAAAUAAUGUCUGUUGCUGUCUUUUCGCAUCCCUCACCCAUUCCCCAUCAUUUUCUCCUUUCCCCACCAAAUCGCCACUGGCUUCCCUCGUCCACUCAGAUCCUCCUAGCUGCUCCCCCUGCCAGCCUCUUGGGGUGCAGGCAGCGGCUCCUGGCAGAUGGUAGUUAGAGGCCGCCGUGGAGGACAAAAGAGCCUCCUCCCUGCAGAAGUCACUGCGCAGUGCCAGGUUACAAAUGCCAGCGGCCUACAGGAACGAGUCUACGGACACAGGCUCACCAGAAAGCGAGAACUUCAAGGGGCCAGCAGAAACCAGGAGCAUAAGGAGCAGGUGAGGAAAGCACCUUUUCUGUCCUAUCCCUCUCCUUCCAACACAGCAUCCCUGAGAUAGGUGUGGAUCCAGUGCCUAGGGCUCAGGGCCCACCGACCCAAAUCUUUUCAGCUCAUAGAUGAUCAUCUAACAGCUCAAGAGAGCGGUGGCUCUUUCUGGGCAGAAGUUCCACGACCAAAGCAAAAAUAGCGCCAGGCACUGCAGUCUGCGGGUACUGCACUGGCCUCAGCCACACAUACAUCCCCCAGGUAAACUUCACCAUGAGCAGUGUCAUUGUCUAGCCAGAGGACUACUCCUCUCUCCCUAAAUACACACACAAAUCUUUACAUAUACACACUGUAGAGACGUUAUCUAACAUUAAGUAUAUCAAAUGUCUGACUCAUUAUUCCAUAUACUGCAGAACUACCAUUCUGAAACAAAUUCCCCCUGCAUCCAUACAAGUUAUUUUAUUUUAAAUGAAUCAAAAAUAAAGGUUGUAUUUAAAGCACAGCCAGCAUCUGUCCCAAUUUAGGUUCUGAAUGCCAGACCGGUUCUUUCGAAAAUGCGUUUAAUAAAAUGUCAGGAUUGCUUCGA